GUUUUCCAAACGGACCCUUAGUCCGUCUCCUCUCUGCUCUUCUUUCUCCGAAGCUCUCUUCGUCUCGUUUCCACUCUGGUCUUCUCUCUCAAGCACUGUUCAUCUCAUCUUUGGCCAAGAAGAAAAUGAAGCUCUGUUCGAAUCGCCUCCCCUCCACAACUCCCUGUCGAUUUUAUGUUCCUCCACGACCUCCUCGUGUACGCCCUCAGCAACCCGUGGGAGGAGUUCUUGCUAGUUGCCGGAGCCUCCACCAGCAAGAACCUCGGCAUCUUCUGCUUCAACGAAGACGACACCCAAGCCCUGCUGUGCCAGGUUUUCACGGUCCACCCUCGCCUGCGUGACAGCUCCAAAGUUGUUCCCGUUGCACUCAACAAGGUUCCCUAAGUUGCUCCUCUCUUCUCUCUCUCUCAGUAAUUUGAUUCACCUUAUGGUGUUUUAUUGAUCCACUUUAUUGAAUUGCUUGGUAAUGACUUUUAUUGCUUUUUUGAAUUGACGUGACAUUUGGCAAUAUCCAAGUAUGGUUAUGAUUAUAUGGACGCUUAUGUACUUGUAUUCAUGGAUAUCAGAGAUGAUUGAACCUAUUCUUGAUUAUUGUUUCUGGUUAUAAUAUUUGAGCUAUCUAGAAUGGCUAUGUAUGUGUAUGUGGAUGAGCUUCAUCAUGAAUGAAUUUGGUUAAUGUUUCCUCUAUUGUCUUUGCUACAAGAAAUGCUACUAUCCCAUUGGUCAUAUUUCACUCAAGCUCUAUGUUUCAGUUCAUCAAAAUUUAUGAUAAAUUAAGAAACAGGUUGCUUUAAUUCAUCCCGGCUGCUGUUUUCUCCUUAUUGCAUGUGGCAAGUGAAAUUUCAUUGCGAAGAGAUGGCAGCGACGACAGAAAUGUCAAUGUCUUUGUUCAAAGGAGUUCCAUAAGAUUGAUGAAGGGAGGGAGUAUGCAGAGUUUAUGCAUUUUCCAAUGAAGAAGUUUACUGAGUUUGUUACUAUUUGGCAAGAGAUCUCUGAUGAGACUGACAGAGAAACUGGUCGCUCCAAGGGCAUUUCUUCUGUUCCUAUCCAUCUUAGUAUCUACUCCCCUCAUGUUGUUAAUCUAACACUGGUUGAUCUUCCUGGACUUACAAAAGUCGUCGUUGGUUAUUACAGAGGGUCAACCAGAUAGCAUUGUGCAAGACAUUCUACCAAGCACUCCUUCCUGCUUUGGCAAUUGAAUUAUGCUAGAUGAUUUUAAAGGAAAGAGGAGAUAUGUCAUGGUGCUGAUAGUUUGUGAAAGCACUGCUGAGGGAAUGUAGAAUUUGCUUAUUACAUUCAAAUCUGCAUGAUUGAACUAUGCUGGAUAAUUUUGAAUUUCUUUAGGGUGUAUGCAAUAUGCUUUUUAAUUUGUAAUCUGUCCAUAAAUAUCCAUUUUUCUUCUUGUUUUGAAUACUAAGGUGCCUUGAAAAUUUUAUAUAUUGUGAAUUUUAUAAUGGACAAAAGGUUCUUUUCGUA
Molecule: non-coding RNA, 1476 nt
Organism: Arachis ipaensis
Lineage: Eukaryota; Viridiplantae; Streptophyta; Magnoliopsida; Fabales; Fabaceae
Source: RefSeq, a predicted model, not a curated record